GAUGAACGCUGGCGGCGUGCCUAAUACAUGCAAGUCGAGCGAACAGAUGAGGAGCUUGCUCCUCUGACGUUAGCGGCGGACGGGUGAGUAACACGUGGAUAACCUACCUAUAAGACUGGGAUAACUUCGGGAAACCGGAGCUAAUACCGGAUAAUAUAUUGAACCGCAUGGUUCAAUAGUGAAAGACGGUUUUGCUGUCACUUAUAGAUGGAUCCGCGCCGCAUUAGCUAGUUGGUAAGGUAACGGCUUACCAAGGCAACGAUGCGUAGCCGACCUGAGAGGGUGAUCAGCCACACUGGAACUGAGACACGGUCCAGACUCCUACGGGAGGCAGCAGUAGGGAAUCUUCCGCAAAGGGCGAAAGCUUGACGGAGCAACGCCGCGUGAGUGAUGAAGGUCUUCGGAUCGUAAAACUCUGUUAUUAGGGAAGAACAAAUGUGUAAGUAACUAUGCACGUCUUGACGGUACCUAAUCAGAAAGCCACGGCUAACUACGUG
Molecule: ribosomal RNA, 497 nt
Filed under: uncultured bacterium
Lineage: Bacteria
Description: partial 16S ribosomal RNA
Rfam family: Bacterial small subunit ribosomal RNA
Source: RNAcentral